GUAGGUUUAAAUUAACAUUCCCCUGUGGAAGCUGAUGCAGAGAUUUUAAUCAUCUGCCUCCUUCUGCCCUGCUGUAAUCUUGAACUGAGUCGCUACAAGUAGAGCUUUCUGCUACAAUUGGCUCAUGGUGAAUGUUUGAUUGACCCAGCCAUACAGGUAAAUAUAACAUCUAAAAGAACACAAACCCCGAACAAUGAGAGGGGAAUUACACUGGUGAAUGCAGGAUGAGAUCAGUUUUUCAGGUUUCAUAUGCAGCACAACUACUGCUCUCGACUUGCAUGCAGUCCAGCCUUUUUCGAAGAUCAGAUGCUUCCUGUCCGAGCCAGGAAUUUUCGUAGAGGAUCCGAUCGCGCUCCUCCAUCACAUGGUUGAGCUCG
Molecule: long non-coding RNA, 377 nt
Filed under: Phoenix dactylifera (date palm)
Lineage: Eukaryota; Viridiplantae; Streptophyta; Magnoliopsida; Arecales; Arecaceae
Description: long non-coding RNA (PDAC_LNC016914)
Source: RNAcentral